AUGAACUUACAGUCUCUGGAAGAAUGUGUAUUAAAAGGUUGCUUAAACUUUCUCUGUGAUAUCAAAGGUCUCAAGCCUGCCUUUGAUGAGUAUUGGAUGGAAAUCACCUCACAUCUGGGUUGUGCUCAGAGUGGCUCAUGGACUUCAGACAAAGAGUCAGUGCACCCGCGGGAGAAUCUAAACUCCAAGAUGAGAAAGAUGCCUGUUGGCUCAGAGCACAGUACCUGAGAUUCAUGAGCAGAACGUGAGCAGCCAUAAAGGAAUCAAUCAAUUUAUAUCUUCCUUGGACAGAUAAUCAUAGUCAAAAUGCUGUGAAAAUAAAAAGGACAUUCCAUUCCCUGUAGAAAGUCUUAUUUGAGGAAGAUUCCAUUGGAUAGGAAAAAGGGAGUCCAUUAAAAGUCACAUGAGUCAAUUGGGGAGAAAUUAAGUUUUAGCUUAACAAAAUUUUGUGGGGAAUGAAAAUAAUCAAUAGAUUGUACUUUUUCAGUUAUAAGUAGAAAUUAUGUUUACUUCUUUAGAAGGGAAAACCAAAUGAAUAUCUGAUACUUGGAAGCAGCAGUAACUUUCCAUUCUUUUUUCUGUCUCUCACUACUCUCCAUGGGAGACUGAUCUGAAUGAUGUGACUGAAAUCUCUGUGUGUGCUGGCUUAGCAUGAUCCCCUCACUCCCCAGACUUGACUGCUGGCAGCCUAGAUGCUAAAAGCCAACUGGGCCAACCUCUGCCCCUGCAGGGGUAGCCUGCUGUUAUCAAGAUGUUCUAUCACCAAGGAGUUAAGUUUGAUUCAUGUGCAAAUAAAUAGGAAAGUAUUUUGCCCUCAUGGGUGAAACUGUGCUCUUCAAUAAUAAAGCAGAUUUUCUUUAUACUU
This 865-nucleotide long non-coding RNA is filed under the name Ovis aries (sheep). RNAcentral describes it as "lncRNA (ENSOARG00000026559.1)". The record is from RNAcentral. Lineage: Eukaryota; Metazoa; Chordata; Mammalia; Artiodactyla; Bovidae.